AUAGCAAGUCAGUCUAUCGCCGCAAUGACCGAAUCGUUCUUUGGAUGUUUCGUGUAAUUGAGGAGGAAAGUCCGGGCAAUAAAGGGCACCUUGCUUCCUAACAGGAAGAUAUCCGUGAGGGUAUAGUAAUGCAGCAGAAAAUAACCGUCAGGCUUUGCUUGAUAAGGGUGAGAAGGUGAGGUAAGAGCUCACCGGUAUCCGUGGUAACACAGAUAGCCGUGCAACUCAAGGAUUGCAAGACCAAAUAUAUCACGAUUUCGUAAGAUACGGAGCGGCCCGUUCUGGUGUUUCGGCAGUCGUGAGGGGUAGGUUGCUGAAGGUCAUGAGUGAUCAUGAUCGUAGACAAAUGAUAGACCGCUCUUUUGGGAGCGACAGAACCCGGCUUAUCGACUUGCUAUUUUU
This 402-nucleotide RNase P RNA is filed under the name Saccharicrinis fermentans DSM 9555 = JCM 21142. Its description in RNAcentral is "Bacterial RNase P class A". It matches the Rfam family "Bacterial RNase P class A". From Rfam's summary of the family: Ribonuclease P (RNase P) is a ubiquitous endoribonuclease, found in archaea, bacteria and eukarya as well as chloroplasts and mitochondria. Its best characterised activity is the generation of mature 5'-ends of tRNAs by cleaving the 5'-leader elements of precursor-tRNAs. The record is from Rfam by way of RNAcentral. Lineage: Bacteria; Pseudomonadati; Bacteroidota; Bacteroidia; Marinilabiliales; Marinilabiliaceae.